UCACCUAAAGAUAAAACAUUGGUUAUUUUCAUUAUGUGCUCUUUCUCUAGUAUACAGUGUAAAAUACUAAUUUUGCUGUGCUAUAGGACACUUGCUGUGUUCCUUUCCACAAAUGCGUAGCUUGUUGUGGGAAGCCACUGUAUCUGUGCAAUACCACCCAGGAGUAUCAUUCACAUGCAGCUUAAAGCAAAAGUUCCAUGAGGCCUCAUGGAGUAAGCUGUGAGGUGAGAUUCCAGGAGAGUUAGUGAAAUUAUAGAAGGCUUUGGAAUACAGGAAUGCAUCUUCUCACCAGGCAUCUUUCACAGUCAAGUUUUAGCCUGCUCUUGCUACAGAUUCUU
This is a long non-coding RNA of Neopsephotus bourkii (Bourke's parrot), 338 nucleotides long. RefSeq lists it as uncharacterized. Lineage: Eukaryota; Metazoa; Chordata; Aves; Psittaciformes; Psittacidae. The transcript has 2 exons. The record is from RefSeq and is a predicted model, not a curated record.